This 497-nucleotide ribosomal RNA is filed under the name uncultured bacterium. RNAcentral's name for it is "partial 16S ribosomal RNA". It matches the Rfam family "Bacterial small subunit ribosomal RNA", at positions 28 to 507 of the family's 1533-position model. The record is from RNAcentral.
GAUGAACGCUGGCGGCGUGCCUAAUACAUGCAAGUCGAGCGAACAGACGAGGUGCUUGCUCCUCUGACUUUAGCGGCGGACGGGGGAGUAACACGUGGAUAACCGACCUAUUAGACUGGGAUAAAUUCGGCAAACCGGAGCCAAUACCGGCUAAUAUAUUGAACCGGAUGGUUCAAUAGUUAAAGACGUUUUUCCUGUCAAGUAGCGGUGGUUCCGCGCCGCAUUAGCUAGUUGGUAAGGUAACGGCUUACCAAGGCAACGAUGCGUAGCCGAGCUGAGAGGGUGAUCGGCCACACUGGAACUGAGACAAGGUCCAGACUCCUACGGGAGGCAGCAGUAGGGAAUCUUCGGCAAUGGGCGCAAGCCUGACGGAGCCAUGCCGCGUGAGUGAAGAAGGUCUUCGGAUCGUAAAGCUCUGUCGUCAGGGAAGAAAACAUGUGUACGUAAAUAUGCACGUCUUGACGGUACCUAAACAGAAAGCACCGGCUAACUACGUG